Molecule: transfer RNA, 76 nt
Filed under: bacterium
Lineage: Bacteria
Description: tRNA-Cys
Rfam family: tRNA
About the family: Transfer RNA (tRNA) molecules are approximately 80 nucleotides in length. Their secondary structure includes four short double-helical elements and three loops (D, anti-codon, and T loops).
Source: RNAcentral
UCCCAGGUCCGUCUAAGUGGCAAGACAGCAGGGUGCACACUCUGAUUAAAUGGAGGUUCGAAUCCUUCCCUGGGAG